GAAUUUUGGACAAUGGGGGCAACCCUGAUCCAGCCAUUCCGCGUGAGUGAAGAAGGCCUUCGGGUUGUAAAGCUCUUUCGCGAGGAAAGAAAACUUACCCUCUAACAUAGGGUGAGGCUGACGGUACCUUGAGAAGAAGCACCGGCUAACUACGUGCCAGCAGCCGCGGUAAUACGUAGGGUGCGAGCGUUAAGCGGAAUUACUGGGCGUAAAGCGUGCGCAGGCGGUUUUGCAAGUCAGAUGUGAAAGCCCCGGGCUCAACCUGGGAACUGCGUUUGAAACUGCAAGGCUAGAGUAUGGGAGAGGGAGGUAGAAUUCCACGUGUAGCAGUGAAAUGCGUAGAGAUGUGGAGGAAUACCAAUGGCGAAGGCAGCCUCCUGGCCUAAUACUGACGCUCAUGCACGAAAGCGUGGGGAGCAAACAG
This 424-nucleotide ribosomal RNA is filed under the name uncultured bacterium. Its description in RNAcentral is "bacterial SSU rRNA". It matches the Rfam family "Bacterial small subunit ribosomal RNA", at positions 359 to 775 of the family's 1533-position model. The record is from RNAcentral.